GGGAGAGCAAGUUAGAGAAAAACCUGGGUGAGAGGGUCAGAGAGACGGAGAAAGAGAGGGAGGUAGAGAUGGAGAUGGACGGAAUAGAAGGGGGAUUGAGAGAGAGAGGGAGGUAGAGAUGGAGAUGGACGGAAUAGAAGGGGGAUGGAGGUAGAGAGGGAGGUAGAGAUGGACGGAAUAGAAGGGGGAUGGAGAGAGAGGGGGAGAGCAAGGUAGAGGAAGAGAGGAUGAGGAAGGGAAAAAUAGGGAGCGGAGGGAGUGAAAAAGAGGGGGAGAUGGAGAGAGAGAGGGGUGGAAAGAGAGAGGUGAAGAGACAGUAGAGAGAGGAAGAGAGAGUAGAGAGAGGUGAAGAGAAAGAGAGAGUAGAGAGAGGUGAAGAGAAAGAGAGAGUAGAGAGAGGUGAAGAGAGAGAGAGUAGAGAGAGGUGAAGAGAGAGAGAGAGUAGAGAGGAAGAGAAAGACAGAGAGAGGAAGAGAAAGAGAGAGUAGAGUGAGAGGUGAAGAGAGGUGAAGAGAGAGAGUAGAAUAGAGCGAGACGGGUCAUGAGCUGAAUUUUUCAGCAUGUUUAUGAAAAUGUAUAUUUGGAUAAAUUUAGAUUUUUUUUGACAAGAACAUAUACACUCC
This is a long non-coding RNA of Oncorhynchus tshawytscha (Chinook salmon), 623 nucleotides long. The record is from Ensembl. Lineage: Eukaryota; Metazoa; Chordata; Actinopteri; Salmoniformes; Salmonidae.